RNAcentral lists this ribosomal RNA (380 nucleotides) under uncultured eukaryote. Its description in RNAcentral is "partial 18S ribosomal RNA". It matches the Rfam family "Eukaryotic small subunit ribosomal RNA", at positions 592 to 976 of the family's 1831-position model. The record is from RNAcentral.
CAAUAGCGUAUAUUAAAGUUGUUGCGGUUAAAAAGCUCGUAGUUGGAUUUCUGCUGAGAACGACCGGUCCGCCCUCUGGGUGUGUAUCUGGCUCUUUCUUGGCAUCUUCUUGGUGAACGUUGCUGCACUUGACUGUGUGGAGCGCUACCCAGGACUUUUACUUUGAGGAAAUUAGAGUGUUUCAAGCAGGCAUACGCCUUGAAUACAUUAGCAUGGAAUAAUAAGAUAGGACCUCGGUUCUAUUUUGUUGGUUUCUAGAGCUGAGGUAAUGAUUAAUAGGGAUAGUUGGGGGCAUUCGUAUUUAACUGUCAGAGGUGAAAUUCUUGGAUUUGUUAAAGACGGACUAUUGCGAAAGCAUUUGCCAAGGAUGUUUUCAUUGA